RNAcentral lists this non-coding RNA (820 nucleotides) under Aspergillus aculeatus ATCC 16872. RNAcentral describes it as "Eukaryotic large subunit ribosomal RNA". It matches the Rfam family "Eukaryotic large subunit ribosomal RNA", at positions 1391 to 2221 of the family's 3401-position model. The record is from Rfam by way of RNAcentral. Lineage: Eukaryota; Fungi; Ascomycota; Eurotiomycetes; Eurotiales; Aspergillaceae.
CUGGGGGUCCGUGACGAAGCCUUGGGAGUGAUCCCGGGUCGAACGGCCCCUAGUGCAGAUCUUGGUGGUAGUAGCAAAUACUCAAAUGAGAACUUUGAGGACUGAAGUGGGGAAAGGUUCCAUGUGAACAGCAGUUGGACAUGGGUUAGUCGAUCCUAAGGCAUAGGGAAGUUCCGUUUGAAAGGCGCCCUCGUGCGCCGUGUGCCGAAAGGGAAGCCGGUUAAUAUUCCGGCACCUGGAUGUGGAUUCUCCACGGCAACGUAACUGAACGCGGAGACGUCGGCGGGGGUCCUGGGAAGAGUUCUCUUUUCUUCUUAACAGCCUAUCACCCUGAAAUCGGUUUGUCCGGAGCUAGGGUUCCACGGCUGGCAGAGCACUGCACCUUUGCAGUGUCCGGUGCGCCCCCGACGACCCUUGAAAAUCCGCGGGAAGGAAUAGUUUUCACGCCAGGUCGUACUCAUAACCGCAGCAGGUCUCCAAGGUGAACAGCCUCUAGUUGAUAGAACAAUGUAGAUAAGGGAAGUCGGCAAAAUGGAUCCGUAACUUCGGGAUAAGGAUUGGCUCUAAGGGUCGGGCUCGCUGGGCCUUGGGGGGAACCCCCCGGAGCAGGGUGGCACUAGCCGGGCAACCGGCCGGCGCCGCCCAGCACCGGGGCGGGGACGCCCUUGGCAGGCUUCGGCCGUCCGGCGGGCGCUUAACGACCAACUUAGAACUGGUACGGACAAGGGGAAUCUGACUGUCUAAUUAAAACAUAGCAUUGCGAUGGCCAGAAAGUGGUGUUGACGCAAUGUGAUUUCUGCCCAGUGCUCUGAAUGUCAAA